This 500-nucleotide ribosomal RNA is filed under the name uncultured bacterium. Its description in RNAcentral is "partial 16S ribosomal RNA". It matches the Rfam family "Bacterial small subunit ribosomal RNA", at positions 29 to 523 of the family's 1533-position model. The record is from RNAcentral.
AUUGAACGCUGGCGGAAUGCUUUACACAUGCAAGUCGAACGGCAGCACGGACUUCGGUCUGGUGGCGAGUGGCGAACGGGUGAGUAAUGCAUCGGAACAUACCCAGUCGUGGGGGAUAACGUAGCGAAAGUUACGCUAAUACCGCAUACGUCCUGAGGGAGAAAGCGGGGGAUCGCAAGACCUCGCGCUAUUGGAGUGGCCGAUGUCAGAUUAGCUAGUUGGUGGGGUAAAGGCCCACCAAGGCGACGAUCUGUAGCGGGUCUGAGAGGAUGAUCCGCCACACUGGGACUGAGACACGGCCCAGACUCCUACGGGAGGCAGCAGUGGGGAAUUUUGGACAAUGGGGGCAACCCUGAUCCAGCCAUGCCGCGUGCGGGAAGAAGGCCUUCGGGUUGUAAACCGCUUUCGGACGGAAAGAAAUCGCCAUCUCUAAUACAGGUGGUGGAUGACGGUACCGUAAGAAGAAGCACCGGCUAACUACGUGCCAGCCGCCGCAGUAA